CGCCUUUGGAAAUUAAAAAUCAUAAGGUCCUGCCUGCCCAGUGAUUAAAAAAUUAAACGGCUGCGGUACUCUGACCGUGCAAAGGUAGCAUAAUCAUUUGCCUGUUAAUUCCAGGCUGGAAUCAACGGCUAGACGAAGGAAAUACUGUCUCUCUUAAUAUAUUUUGAAUUUAGUUUUUUGGUGAAGAAACCAAAAUAAAAAAGUGGGACGAGAAGACCCUAUUGAGCUUUAGUUAAUUUUAAUAAAACAAUUUAUUAAGAGAACUUUGGUUGGGGCAACUAAUUUUUUAAUAAGACAAAAUUAAUUAGAAUAAAUUAAAUUUAAAAUUUUGACCCAUAAUUGUUAUGGUAAUUAGAAAAAGUUACCAUAGGGAUAACAGCGUAAUUUUCUUUGAGAGUACAUAUUGACAAGAAAGUUUGCGACCUCGAUGUUGGAUCAAGAUAACCUGAAGGUGCAGCAGCUUUCAAAGGUAGGUUUGUUCAACCUAUAAAAUCUUACGC
Molecule: ribosomal RNA, 500 nt
Filed under: Ophiura albida
Lineage: Eukaryota; Metazoa; Echinodermata; Ophiuroidea; Amphilepidida; Ophiuridae
Description: partial 16S ribosomal RNA
Rfam family: Bacterial large subunit ribosomal RNA
Source: RNAcentral